UACCGGCUUGAAUUUAAUGGACU
This 23-nucleotide non-coding RNA is filed under the name Cricetulus griseus (Chinese hamster). Lineage: Eukaryota; Metazoa; Chordata; Mammalia; Rodentia; Cricetidae. The record is from RNAcentral.